RNAcentral lists this ribosomal RNA (305 nucleotides) under uncultured bacterium. RNAcentral describes it as "bacterial SSU rRNA". It matches the Rfam family "Bacterial small subunit ribosomal RNA", at positions 335 to 655 of the family's 1533-position model. The record is from RNAcentral.
AACCUACGGGGCGCAGCAGUGGGGGAUAUUGGACAAUGGGGGGAACCCUGAUCCAGCGACGCCGCGUGAGUGAAGAAGUAUUUCGGUAUGUAGAGCUCUGUCAGCAGGGAAGAAAGAAAUGACAGUACCUGACUAAGAAGCCCCGGCUAACUACGUGCCAGCAGCCGCGGUAAUACGUAGGGGGCAAGCGUUAUCCGGAUUCACUGGGCGUAAAGGGAGCGCAGGCGGCAUGGCAAGUCUGAUGUGAAAACCCGGGGCCCAACCCCGGGAGUGCAUUGGAAACUGCCAGGCUGGAGUGUCGGAGG